RNAcentral lists this ribosomal RNA (483 nucleotides) under uncultured bacterium. RNAcentral's name for it is "partial 16S ribosomal RNA". It matches the Rfam family "Bacterial small subunit ribosomal RNA", at positions 899 to 1397 of the family's 1533-position model. The record is from RNAcentral.
ACUCAAAGGAAUUGACGGGGACCCGCACAAGCGGUGGAGCGUGUUGUUUAAUUCGAUGGUAAGCGAAGAACCUUACCCAGGCUUGACAUCCUGCUAAGGUCUCCGAAAGGAGACUGUGCCUUCGGGCCGCAGUGACAGAUGAUGCAUGGCCGUCGUCAGCUCGUGUCGUGAGAUGUUAGGUUAAGUCCUUCAACGAGCGCAACCCCUGUGAUUAGUUGAAUUUUUCUAAUCAGACUGCCCCGGUAACGGGGAGGAAGGAGGGGAUGAGGUCAGGUCAGUAUUUCUCUUACGCCUGGGGCUACAAACACGCUACAAUGGCCGGUACAAAGGGCUGCCAAGUCGCGAGACGGAGCAAAUCCCAUCAAAGCCGGUCUCAGUUCGGAUAGCAGGCUGAAACCCGCCUGCUUGAAGCUGGAAUCGCUAGUAACGGUAGGUCAGCACACUACCGUGAAUACGUUCCCGGGUCUUGUACACACCGCCCGU